GGAGGGUGCAAGCGUUAAUCGGAAUUACUGGGCGUAAAGCGCACGCAGGCGGUUUGUUAAGUCAGAUGUGAAAGCCCUCGGCUUAACCGAGGAACUGCAUCGGAAACUGUUUUUCUUGAGUGCAGAAGAGGAGAGUGGAACUCCAUGUGUAGCGGUGGAAUGCGUAGAUAUAUGGAAGAACACCAGUGGCGAAGGCGGCUCUCUGGUCUGCAACUGACGCUGAGGCUCGAAAGCAUGGGUAGCGAACAGGAUUAGAUACCCUGGUAGUCCACGCCGUAAACGAUGUCGACUUGGAGGUUGUGCCCUUGAGGCGUGGCUUCCGGAGCUAACGCGUUAAGUCGACCGCCUGGGGAGUACGGCCGCAAGGUUA
Molecule: ribosomal RNA, 370 nt
Filed under: uncultured bacterium
Lineage: Bacteria
Description: bacterial SSU rRNA
Rfam family: Bacterial small subunit ribosomal RNA
Source: RNAcentral